This 113-nucleotide ribosomal RNA is filed under the name Hoylesella buccalis. Lineage: Bacteria; Pseudomonadati; Bacteroidota; Bacteroidia; Bacteroidales; Prevotellaceae. The record is from RNAcentral.
UCAGGUGGUUAUGGCGGCAGGAUUCCACCUCUUCCCAUUCCGAACAGAGAAGUUAAGCCUGCUUGCGCCGAUGGUACUGCAAUGCAAUGCGGGAGAGUAGGUAGCCGCCUUUU